Molecule: transfer RNA, 72 nt
Filed under: Camelus bactrianus (Bactrian camel)
Lineage: Eukaryota; Metazoa; Chordata; Mammalia; Artiodactyla; Camelidae
Also listed under: 2 other names
Rfam family: tRNA
About the family: Transfer RNA (tRNA) molecules are approximately 80 nucleotides in length.
Source: Rfam by way of RNAcentral
GAGGGUAUAGCUCAGUGGUAGAGUGCAUGCCUAGCAUGCAUGAGGUCCUGGGUUCAAUCUCCAGUACUUCCA